This 397-nucleotide ribosomal RNA is filed under the name uncultured bacterium. RNAcentral describes it as "partial 16S ribosomal RNA". It matches the Rfam family "Bacterial small subunit ribosomal RNA", at positions 523 to 918 of the family's 1533-position model. The record is from RNAcentral.
AUACGUAGGGGGCGAGCGUUGUCCGGAAUGAUUGGGCGUAAAGGGCGCGUAGGCGGCCCGGUAAGUCUGGAGUGAAAGUCCUGUUUUUAAGAUGGAAAUUGCUUUGGAUACUGUCGGGCUUGAGUGCAGGAGAGGUAAGUGGAAUUCCCAGUGUAGCGGUGAAAUGCGUAGAGAUUGGGAGGAACACCAGUGGCGAAGGCGACUUACUGGACUGUAACUGACGCUGAGGCGCGAAAGUGUGGGGAGCAAACAGGAUUAGAUACCCUGGUAGUCCACACUGUAAACGAUGAAUGCUAGGUGUAGGGGGUAUCAACCCCUUCUGUGCCGCAGUCAACACAAUAAGCAUUCCGCCUGGGGAGUACGGCCGCAAGGUUGAAACUCAAAUGAAUUGACGGGG